AAGGCCCUGUCAGCACUGACUAGCCACACACAGGGAGAGUCACCUAAACGUCCGAUGCCUUAGUUUCUGCCUGUAAAAUGAUAUAAGAGAGUUGAUAGAGCGGUUAAAAAAAUCAGACAAUACCAUACUAGCCUAAGCACAGCGCCUGGCACACAAAGACUCCGCAGUAAAAGGCGGCUCCUAUUAUUGGAACAAUUAGCAUAGAAACUCAACUGCCGCUCCUCCAGGUGGGCCUCAGAGGGGGUCGAACAGGACCAGACCCAGGAGGGCCCCACACCAACUUCCGGAGGGCAGGACUCUGCCUGCCAGUGAGCCCCAGAUCCAGGGACUAAGGCAGCAGGGGUGAAAGCAGGAUGGGGGCCGCCAUGACAGACGGCGGGAUCCGGCCAGCUGGCCUACGCGGUGCUUGCGAGCCUGGCGGCGCGCGCGGGCACUGGGCAUGCGCGGGGUGAGCGCGCCGCCGUCACCGCGCUCCGCUGAAUCCGCGUUUCCGGGAUUUCUCUGUAGCCUUCUAUUUCCAUUAGUGACUUAGAAGCUACCCGGCGCCUCAUCUGGGCUCACCUGAGCUGAGGAUCAGGAAGGGGAGGGGGCACAGUCAUUCCCUCGCGGACGCGGCGGGACCCCAGCGGACGGCUUUGUGCGGACUUUCGGCACCGUUAUGCCCCCCUAGCCCGACACCACCUGGGGCUGGCGCGCCACGUUACUGUUCAGGGCCAGACGCACCGCCCUGCCUGCUCCGGGGAGCCGGACCUCCGAUCCCGGGGAUGGGGGACCCCGAGACCUCAGACCCAACGGAGGGGACUCUGAUACCUCAGACCCCACGCGGGGACCCCGAGGCUUCAGACCCCCACAGGGUGACCCCGAGAUCUCAGACCCCCGCAGGAGUACCUCCAGACCUCAAAUCCCCAGUAAGGGAAUGAAAGAGACUUCGGAUCCCUGAGGCAGCAAAUCCCUGUAGGGGCAUCCCAGGACUCAGGUCACCGCGGGGUGAACCCAGACCUCACAUUCAGGCAAUCCCCAGGACGCCGAUCGGCUGGCACUACCCACUGUCCCGGCCACCCCCCCUGGAGCUCAAAGGCUUGGCCCUCCAGCUGCUCCACCCUGCCGGCAACCAGGCUCAAACCUGCAGCCCGCGGAUCCCCUGCCCCGGAAGCAACCAGAUUCGCGGGAGGUUACCUGACUGAUCCAAGGUGAUACAGCUGGUAACUGAUGGAGAUGUUGGUAGUGAAAUUCAUGUACUUUUAGUUCUUUCUAUGGAAUCUAGAGGUAGAAUACAUGUAAAAGAAUAUCGACUACCGUCUACUCAGGUCUCUGUUUUAUCUGUUUAUUCAUUCACUCUCAGCUUUUAAUAGGAUCCAAUGAGCCCUCUGUGGUUCUGAAGAAUUGCCUUGAGUAUAUGCAGCCUCAAAAAACCCACUUCCUAGGCUCAGUCUUUGAUCAAUAUUUAUCAUUAUCACCAGUUAUUGUUCUAAUAAACUCUACUCUGGAAAUAUGGUGUUAUGGUUUACUUGGGAGUGUGAGUUCAGGGCAUCAUUGAAGACUCACGUACUUUUACUGAGAAAGUGACAUUGAUCUCUGUAGAUUUUGAAUUAAAUGAUAUGAUGAAGUAUAUAAACCAAUUACUUUUGGUCAAGGUGGUAAAAAAAGUUUAGUAUUUGAUAGAUUCUUCAUCUCCACGAUCACAAAUAUUUUCUCCUAGGAUUUCUUCUAGAAAUAUUACUGCUUUAGGUUGUAUAUCAGGUCUAGGUUCUACUUUUUUUUUUUUUUUUCUCCAGGCAGUUUCUCACUCCGUUGCCCAGGCUGGAAUGCAGUGGUGUAAUCACAGCUCACUGCAGCCUCAACCUACUGGACUCAAAGGAUAAGAUCUGCUUUUAAUUAAUUUUUGUAUACGGUAUGGGAUAGGGACCAAAGUUCAUUUUUUUGCAUGUAUACAUAUCCAAAUGUUCCAGCAUCAUUUAUUAAAAAGUUAUUUUUGUCUCUACUGCAUUUCCUUUGUGCUUACAUCAAAAUCUGUGUUGCAUAUGUAUGUGUUUCAUUUUAGGCUUCCUAUUGUGUUCCAUUGAGCUAUUUGUCUUUUUGCUGCCAGCACCAUGCUGUUUUGAUUAUUGUAGCUAUAUAAAUAAGUGAUGAAAUCAGAUAGUUUAUGUCCUACAACUUUAUUUUUCAAGGUUAUUUUGUAUCUUCUAGAUUCUUCAGAUUUCCUUUUAAAUCUUAGAGUCGACUUCUCAUUUUGCACAAAAAAAUACUGCUGGGAUUUUGAUUGAGAUUGUGUUGACUCUACAGAUGAAUUUGGGGAGAAUUGACAUUUUAACCAUAUUGAAUCUUCUGACCCAUUAACAUUUAGGUCUUUUAAAAUUUCUCUGGCCAGACGCAGUGGCUCACGCCUGCCACUUUGGGAGGCCAAGGCGGGCCGAUCACAAGGUCAGGAGAUUGAGACCAUCCUGGCUAACACAGUGAAACCCCAUCUCUACUAAAAAUACAAAAAAUUAGCCGGGCGUGGUGGCAUGCGCCUGUAGCCCCAGCUACUUGGAAGGCUGAGGCAGGAGAAUGGCAUGAACCCGGGAGACAGAGCUUGCAGUGAGCAGAGAUCUUGCCACUGCACUCCACCUGGGGCAACAGAGCGAGACUCCAUCUCAAAAAAAAAAAAUAUAACUGUUGUUAGAUUUUAACCUAAGUAUUUGUUUUUUUAUUUUGUUUUUCUUUUUUUCUUCUUUUUUUUUUUUUUUUUUUUUUGAGACAGGAUCUCACUCUGUCUCCCAGGCUGAAGUGCAAUGGUGUGAUCAUGGCUCAUCUUGAAGCCUCGACCCUCCUGGGAUCAAGCUAUCCUCCCACCUCAACCUCCUGAGUAGCUGGGACUACAAGUACACAUGACCAUGCCCAAUUCAUUUUUUAAAUUCUUUGUAGAGGCGGAGUCCCACUAUGUUGCCCAGGCUGGUCUUGAACUCCUGGGCUCAAGCAAUCCUCCCACCUCAGCUUCCCAAAGUGUAGGGAUUACAGGCAUGAGCCACUGUGCAAGGUCUUGUGUUUUUUGAUAAUAUCGUAAAUGGUGAUUUUUUCAUUUGUUUCUGAUUGUUGCUAAUAUAUGGAAAUAUAGUUGAUAUCUGCAAUUGAUCUCAUGUCCUGAAAACUUGCUAAAUCUGCUUAAUAAUUUUUUGUACAUUCAAAAUGAUGUUCUACAGGUAGUCGUAUUGUCUAUGUUGGAAGGAAAGCUUUUCCUCAUUCAAUGUCGGUCCUGUGUUUGAAGACCUGCAAAUUAACUGAUAACAACAGGUUAACAGGAGAAAAGACAAGGUUUAGAGUAACUCACUAAAUAGAAAUAAAGGUUUAUAGAUCCACUUAACAAAAUGUGUUGGGAGAUUUUGGAGUUUCAGUAGGAAGUUGUGGAAGGUUCUUUUGGGCUUUUGGAUGCUUAUGAGAAUGGGCAAUCUGUCUCUACAGUAGUGGAAUUUACAGGAAACUUCCUCAGAGGGAGGCCAAUGGCAGCUGUAUUUUCUGGGGGCUCUGCUUUAGUGAAAUAAGGGAAGUUCAAAUAAAAUUUCUUGAUGCGUCUUUCUUAGAUCAAAUAUUUUCACAGUAAAAUAAUCUUUAUACCAACUUUUAGGGCCUGAAUGGUCCACACAUUUCUCCAUCUGAAACUUCCCUAGAAAUUUCAUUAACAAAAAAAAGAAGCUAAGUUGAUUGCUGUGGGGAGAUGAUUUGAGUUAGAAAUUGUAAGAUGAGAGAUCUGUAAAAGGGGGAAAAACAUAGAUUAGAACAAGGAAACAAAAACAAUGAUUAAUGUUCAGAGCAGACGAUAAACCCAGUCUAGAGGGUAAGCCAGUUAUGAAAUUUUCUAGAUGUUGGGCUCCAGCUAUCUUUAGUGAGGAUGGUAGUGGUAGGUAGUGUUGCCAUCAUGGUUAUUUCCUAGAGCACAGUCUGGAAGAUGCAGGUGUUCUGGGGAAAUAUUUGAAAGACCCACGUGUUGUGAUAAGUCUUUUGAAGUUUCUGUCUAGCCAUCCAGCUUCAGCUUGCAAGGCUUUGAGAAGGAAUCAGUUUUAGUUCUCAGUGACGUCAAGUCAGUAGAGUGGGAGGAAAAUUGGAAAUACUGAUUACUGACAAAAUAUGUAAGAUGGCAGGAUCCAGGUUUUGUUUUGUUUUUUGUUUUGUUUGUUUGUUUUUGAGACUGAGUAUCACUCUUGUUGCCCAGGCUGGAAUGCAGUGGUGCAAUCUCGGCUCACUGCAACCUCCACCUCCCAGAUUCAAGCGAUUCUCCUGCCUCAGCCUCCCAAGUAGCUGGGAUUGUGGGCUAAUUUUGUAUUUGUAGUAGAGAUGGGGUUUCUCCAUGUUGGUCAUGGCUGGUCUCGAACUCCCGACCUCAGGUGAUUCCCCGGCCUCGGCCUCCCAGAGUGCUGGGAUUACGGGCGUGAGCCACCGUGCCUGACCGGCAGGAUCCAGCUUUUAAAGAGGUAAAAAAAUUGCUCAAAGACAAUGAACAAGACUAGAGUCUGAUAACUCACACAACUGGGUUAUAGUUUGCCAUUGAAACAUAAAAUUUCUCUGUAUAAUUACUACCACUGAGAUCAAAGAUAAACAAAGUAAGAUUACUCUUGUUUACAAAAUAAGUCUUGUCUCAUUAAAUUUGGCCUGAUCAUUUACAUAAGUCCAGCAAGAAUGAUAAUUGACCACAGGAGCCUUUUUAGGUUUGCUUGGCUGGAACUUUUAUAAGGAAUCUCAGAUUAGAGUUUUAAGACUACACCUACACAGCCAGGCGUGGUGGGUCACGCCUGUAAUCCCAGCACUUUGGGAGGCUGAGGCGGGUGGAUCACAAGGUCAGGAGUUCAAGACCAUCCUGCCUAACCCGGUGAAACCCCGUCUUUACUAAAAAUACAAAAAAAUUAGCCGGGCGUAGUGGCGGGUGCCUGUAGUCCCAGCUACUCGGGAGGCUGAGGCAGGAGAAUGGCAUGAACCUGGGCGGCAGAGUUUGCAGUGAACCGAGAUUGCACCACUGCAUUCCAGCCUGGGGGACAGAGUGAGACUCCAUCUCAAAAAAAAAAAAAAAAAAAAAAAAAAAAGACUACACCUAUACUAUCUGUAGUUUCAGAUAGAGAAAUGUGGGGAUCCAUUCAGACCCUAAAACUGUUGCUCUUCUUGAGGUUUCCAAAACAUCUUAAGGCCCUGGGCCUGCGAGUAAGUAACCCAUCUUACUCACCUGUAAGCCUGGAACCCUGUAAGUCAGGUAAGGCACCAGGUCAAUUAUUUCAGCAGAGCUUUGUAAGCAUUGGCUCCAUCAAGUCAACCUUAGUUUCUUAAAAAUGUCUGGUCACGUCUAAUUCUGUGCACAUCAGUCUCAAAUAUGACCUUCUAGUCAAAGUCUUGGUAACAUAAUCAAUUUUUCCAAAUAAUGUCCUUUUUUAAGGAGAACAGAUUCUUCUUGAAUUUAUGCAAACAACUAUAUUGCCAUGAGAAUAGGAAUAUUCAAUAAGAAUUGACAAAUUUUAGAGGAAGCAGGGAGAAAAAGAUAAAUUUUUCAUUUCUACUUAUGAAAGUUUAUUAAAUUGUUAUCAUUUGUGGAUAGCUUAAGAGAAAAGAGAAAUCAAAGGAUGUAUCACAACAGUUUGGGGUUUUCAAUUAUUUCUCCAGAACACUUGCAUCUUCCAGGCUCUGCUCCAGAAAAUAACCAUGACUCCAACAUACCACUACCAUCCUCACUAAAGAUGGAACCCCACAUCUAGAAAACCUCAUGACUGGCUUGCCCUCUGGACUUAAAAAAACUGGGUUUAUAUUCUGCUCUGAACAUUAAUCAUUGUUUUUAUUUUGUUUCCUUGUUCUAAUCUAUGUUUCUUCCCUUAUAUUCAGGACAUAGAACAUUCAAGAACCAGCAAUGUUUCAAACAAAGGCCAUUUAAAAAAUCAUAACCAUUGUUUAUCAGUCACCUCAGUUCCAUAUGAUUAAUUCUGGCCUUGCUUGAUCUUGGAUUAGCAGUGUCAUGAACCCAUCAGCUUUUCAACUAGAGUUCUGGAAAUCCUUCCUCAGGGCAGUGGUAUGAGAUUAAAGUUAUUUAAGCAAUGUCAUCAGAAGCCUGUACCCCACAGUACUGUUACAGGCCUUUCCAUGGAUCUUAGAGAAACAGUCCUUUUUGUUGAAGAUGAAGUAUUCUGGCUAAUAACUGAUCGCUAGAGCUUUCAGGAAAGUACCAGAGUAAAAUAAUAACUGCGAAUGACAAAAAGGCAAAAAUGGCCAUGGUAAAGAUCGGAUGAAGGUUUAUUUUAAUUCUGUUAACAAGGAAAAUCAGUUUUUUUGUGGCAUACAUUUAAAAUCAUAACUGUAAUCAUGACUGAUAAUAUUAUACCAGGACAUAUUAUGGUUAUCAAGGGCAUUGACAAAUUUCUAGGAACUUUAUUCAGUUUCUGAAAUAAUAACAUUUAUCCAUGCAAAUACCACCUAAGGAAGGUUAAGUAUCUUUUCUUGACAGUGAGUGCCUCCCGUGCAAUUUAACAUAUUGAAUAAACCUAAUUAGUUUAACAUCUCUCUUUUUACAAAAUGAGAGAACAAAUAUUUUGAGAUCUUCUAGGGACCCUUUGGAAAAUCUCAAAGUCAGUUCAAAGUUAAAAAAAUUUCAUUUAGAAUUUCAUUUGGGGAAGUUGUCAAAAAUGCCAAAAGCGUUGAACACUUGAUUAAAUAGGAUCACAGGUCACUGUGAAACAACACUUAAUUAUCCAUUUAAUUAAACUGACAAUAAAAAUAGCCAUAGGAGAUUCUAUGAUUGUAAGAAAAAAAUAGCUUUUUUUUUAAGGUGAGAAGAUUUAGUUGUCUUAAAUAAUCAAAGACAUGAUAAAGCACCAGAAAUUAUUCUAAUAAAACACAGUCACUGAUUUCUAGGUGGUAUUAAUGAAAAAAAAAUGUUCUUAAAGUUGUUGAAACAGUAAAUACUUUUUUUUUUUUUAAUUUAAGACAGGAGAUUUAUUAUUACUCAAAUCAGUCUCCCCAAGGAGCAUCCAGGGAUCAGAGUUUUGAAGGAUAACUUGCUGGGCCGGGGGCAGCCAGUGAGUCAGGAGUGCUGAUUGGUCAGGUUGGAAAUGAAAUCACAGGGAGUCAAAGCAGUCUUCUUGCGCUGAGUCAGUUACUGGGUGGUGGCCACAAGAUCAGAUGAGCCCGAUUAUCCAUCUGGGUGGGGCCAGCUGAUCCAUCAAGUGCAGGGUCUGCAAUGUAUCUCAAGCGCUGAUCUUAGGAGCAGUUUUGGGAGGGUCAGAAUCUUCUAGCCUCCAACUGCAUGACUCCUAAACCAUAGUUUCUAAUCUUGUGGCUAAUUUAUGAGUCCUACAAAGGCAGUCUAGUCCCUAGGCAAGAAGGAGGUUUGUUUUUGGAAAGGACUGUUAUUCUCUUGGUUGUAAACUAUAAACACUAAGCUAAGUUCCUCCCAAAGUUAGUUCAGCCUAUGCCUGGGAAAGAACAAGGACAGCUUGGAGGUUAGAAGCAAGAUGGAGUUGGUUAGGUCAGAUCUCCUUCACUGUCCCAGUUACAAUUUUGCAGUGGCUGUUUCAAUCCCUCCCUUUGGUUUUUUUGUUUGUUUGUUUUUGGUGCGAUUUUGGCUUACCGCAACCUCCACCUCCCGGGUUCAAGCAAUUCUCCUGCCUCAGCCUCCCGAGUACCUGGGACUACAGGCAUGCACCACCACGCCUGGCUAAUUUGUUGUAUUUUUAGUAGAGAUGGGGUUUCACCAUGUUGGCCAGGCUGGUCUCGAACUCCUGACCUCAAGUGAUCCACCUGCCUUGGCCUCCCAAAAUGUUGAGAUUAUAACCAUAAGCCACCGCUCCCAGACUCCUUUUGGAUUUUAUAACACCUUAAUCUUAAGGUGUUGGCUAAUGAAAAUUGAAAAAGGGCGAAGGCUGCUCUAACUUCUUCCUGCCGAUCUGAGGCAUAGUAGGGGUAGGCGUUAACCCCAAAGUGAGAGAAAUGGAACUGCUUUGCAACUGUGUGAGCGUACUCAUGCAGGCCUGGCUGGGGUUCCAAGGCUCGCAUGGCAAAGGCAUUAGUAUUAACAUCUAUAGUUUUAGUACUGCAUUUGAGGGAACAGUGACUAUCAGGUAGAUAAUGAAUACUAGGGUGAGGAGUGCAAUUCCCAGUUUCAAAAGUAAAGAUUUGAAAGCAUUAGUUUGGGGACUUUUAGCCCACAGAGAAUUUAGGAUUUAGUCCAAACUGAAGGAAAAAUUCAAGAACAGCUAACAAAAGGUGUACUGUAACUUUUGUUUUUUUUUAGAUGGAGUGUCACUCUGUUGCCAGGCUGAAGUGUAGUGGCAAGAUCUGGGCUCACUGCAACCUCCACCUCGCGGGUUUAAGCAACUCUCCUGCCUCAGUCUCCCAAGUAGCUGGGACUACAGGUGCAUGCACACCACCACGCCCAGCUAAUUUUUGUAUUUUUAGUAGAGAUGGGAGUUCUCCAUGUUGGCCAGGAUGGUAUCAAUCUCUUGACCUCGUGAUCCAACUGCCGUGGCCUCCCAAAGUGCUGGGAUUAUGGGCAUGGGCCACCACGCCCAGCCUAUAAGUCUUUUUUAAGUAUAAUUUUUCUCUUUCCAAUCCUCAUUUUUUUCUUUUCUUUUUUUUUUUUUUUGAGACAGAGUCUCACUCUGUUGACCAGGCUGGAGUGCAGUGGCGCAAUCUCGGCUCACUGCAAGCUCUGCCUCCCGGGUUCACACCAUUCUCCUGCCUCAGCCUCCCGAGUAGCUGGGACUACAGGCGCCCGCCACCACGCCCGGUUAAUUUUUUGUAUUUUUAGUAGAGAUGGGGUUUCACCGUUUUAGCCAGGAUGGUCUCGAUCUGCUGACAUCGUGUUCCACCUGCCUCGGCCUCCCAAAGUGCUGGGAUUACAGGCGUGAGCUACCGCACCCGGCCCCCCAAUCAUCAUUUUUAUUAAAAACAAAUAAUGAUAGGACUGAUUGGUUUGCAAAAUAAACUUUUAUUGUACUUGGCCUGGUUAUUUGCAUAAAGCACAGCAAAAAUAAUUAUUUUUCAUAUAGGAUUUUUAAAUUGGCUUUGAUGGAGCUCUGUUCUAUAAGGAAUCUCAGAUAAGACUUUUUAAAAGCUGAGCCCUGCCAUGGGUUUAUACCGUCAAAUACCUAUGAGUUAGGUAAAUUAUUCUUCUCUUGAGGUGCCAAGAUAACUUGGGGCUCCUCGGCCUGUUAGAAAGUGCCAUUCUUUACUUAUCACAGGUCAGAAACCUUAUACAGGGACUGUGUAAAGAAAAUAUGAGGCCAGAUUUCCCAAGAGGCUUUUAUUGGCUCUGUAAAUCAACUUUGAUUCCUUAAAGAAAGCAUGCCAUUCCAGUCAAAGCCUUGGUAAAAUAACCAGUUUCUACAAUCGUGUCCUGUUACAAAAGAAAACAGAUUCUUAUCAUGCUUAUGCAAAUGUCUAUACUACCAUAAAUUGAGAAUACUCACAAAUAGUUCCCAAAUUCUGGAGAAGUCAGGUAGAAAGAAAUAUGCUCCAAAUUUUGUUCACAGGAGUAUAUUUUACCAAUUGUUAAAGGCUGUAAAUAGCUCAAAAGAUAAGUUUUCUUAGUUCUGGAUAAGAAAAAGGAUCAGCAACAUUUUAAGCAAAAAAGUAAAAAAAAAAAAAAAAAGGUUACUUCAGUCUUUUAUUAGUUCAGUCCAUUCAGUUAACUUUUGUUCUGCUUCAUAUCCAUGAACAUUUCAGCUCUCCAUGAGAGUCCUGAAAGUUUUUCCCCUUUACACUUGUGUCAUCAUCAUCUCCAAAGUUAUCAGAAACUUGCAUUCAAGAGUACCUGUCAAAGUUUUAUAGCUGAUUAUAAAACCACCUUCCAAAGUGGAUCAAAAUGAGACAAUUGCCUUGGAUGACAAAAAUAUUUUAGGGCAGCCACAGUUAAAAACACAAUUGGGCUGCGUGCAGUGGCUAACGCCUGAAAUCCCAGCACUUUGGGAGACUGAGGCAGGCGGGUCACGAGGUCAGGAGAUCAAGACCAUCCUGGCUA
Molecule: long non-coding RNA, 9964 nt
Filed under: Homo sapiens (human)
Lineage: Eukaryota; Metazoa; Chordata; Mammalia; Primates; Hominidae
Description: non-protein coding lnc-ANGPT2-2:10
Source: RNAcentral